CCGCAAGCCUGGGGCUAGCGUCUCUGAGGGUGAUCGCGCUGCUUUCUAGUGGCCUGAAAGAGGAGAAAAGGGCAGAUACAAAUGGAAAAUUAGAUUAUUUGUGGUUUGGGCUUAACUUGGGAAGGUCAGCCAUUCUCUGUCAGCCUGUGGCGUCUGCCAGCGGGACUAAUACUAAGAACACAUGGAACAAAAGCCAGGGGAUAUACAUGUGCACACUUAGAAGUGGGCACCACUGGCACCAGAGCUGGGAGAUGAGCCUCUGUGCAGGCAGCAAGUCUUGCAAAACAGGACCAUUUCAUCCACAGCAUGCAGUCUCCUGUAGGGAGCCAGGGCUGCAAAACAAACGUUUAAA
Molecule: long non-coding RNA, 352 nt
Filed under: Rattus norvegicus (Norway rat)
Lineage: Eukaryota; Metazoa; Chordata; Mammalia; Rodentia; Muridae
Description: long non-coding RNA NONRATT000639
Source: RNAcentral